CUACGGGUCGCACCAGUGGGGAAUAUUGGACAAUGGGGGCAACCCUGAUCCAGCCAUGCCGCGUGAGUGAAGAAGGCCUUAGGGUUGUAAAGCUCUUUCAGAUGGGAAGAUAAUGACGGUACCAUCAAAAGAAGUUCCGGCUAACUCCGUGCCAGCAGCCGCGGUAAUACGGAGGGAACUAGCGUUGUUCGGAAUUACUGGGCGUAAAGCGCGCGUAGGCGGCUUAGCAAGUUGGGGGUGAAAGCCCGGGGCUUAACCUCGGAACUGCCCUCAAAACUGCUAAGCUUGAAUCCUGGAGAGGUGAGUGGAAUUCCUAGUGUAGAGGUGAAAUUCGUAGAUAUUAGGAAGAACACCAGUGGCGAAGGCGGCUCACUGGACAGGUAUUGACGCUGAGGUGCGAAAGCGUGGGGAGCGAACAGGAUUAGAUACCCCAGUAGUC
This 439-nucleotide ribosomal RNA is filed under the name uncultured bacterium. Its description in RNAcentral is "partial 16S ribosomal RNA". It matches the Rfam family "Bacterial small subunit ribosomal RNA", at positions 339 to 795 of the family's 1533-position model. The record is from RNAcentral.